GGAUGUGGCUCAAGCGGUAGCGCGCUUGCCUGGUAUGCGUGUGGCCCGAGUUGGAUCCUCAGCACCA
RNAcentral lists this transfer RNA (67 nucleotides) under Marmota monax (woodchuck). RNAcentral describes it as "tRNA.Thr". Lineage: Eukaryota; Metazoa; Chordata; Mammalia; Rodentia; Sciuridae. The record is from RNAcentral.